RNAcentral lists this ribosomal RNA (506 nucleotides) under uncultured bacterium. Its description in RNAcentral is "partial 16S ribosomal RNA". It matches the Rfam family "Bacterial small subunit ribosomal RNA", at positions 28 to 523 of the family's 1533-position model. The record is from RNAcentral.
GAUGAACGCUAGCUACAGGCUUAACACAUGCAAGUCGGGGGGUAACGAGAGGAAAGCUUGCUUUCCCUGUCGACGACCGGCGCACGGGUGAGUAACGCGUAUCCAACCUGCCCCCAACUAGGGAAUAACCUUGCGAAAGUAAGACUAAUACCCUAUAAUUUCCUCAGAUGUCAUCUGACGAGGAAUAAAGAUUUAUCGGUUGUGGAUGGGGAUGCGUCUGAUUAGCUUGUUGGCGGGGUAACGGCCCAACAAGGCAACGAUCAGUAGGGGUUGUGCGAGGAAGGUCCCCCACAUUGGAACCGAGACACGGUCCAAACUCCUACGGGAGGCAGCGGUGAGGAAUAUUGGUCAAUGGGCGGAAGCCUGAACCAGCCAAGUAGCGUGCAGGAUGACGGCCCUAUGGGUUGUAAACUGCUUUUAUACAGGAAUAAAGUUAGCCACGUGUGGUUAUUUGUAGGUACUGUAUGAAUAAGGACCGGCUAAUUCCGUGCCAGCCGCCGCCGUAA